AGGGAAUCUUCCGCAAUGGACGAAAGUCUGACGGAGCAACGCCGCGUGAGCGAAGAAGGUCUUCGGAUCGUAAAGCUCUGUUGUUAGGGAAGAACAAGUACCGUUCGAAUAGGGCGGUACCGUGACGGUACCUAACCAGAAAGCCACGGCUAACUACGUGCCAGCAGCCGCGGUAAUACGUAGGUGGCAAGCGUUGUCCGGAAUUAUUGGGCGUAAAGCGCGCGCAGGCGGCUUCUUAAGUAUGAUGUGAAAGCCCGCAGCUCAACUGCGGAGGGUCAUUGGAAACAGGGAAGCUUGAGUGCAGAAGAGGAGAGUGGAAUUCCACGUGUAGCGGUGAAAUGCGUAGAGAUGUGGAGGAACACCAGUGGCGAAGGCGGCUCUCUGGUCUGUAACUGACGCUGAGGCGCGAAAGCGUGGGGAGCAAAC
Molecule: ribosomal RNA, 426 nt
Filed under: uncultured bacterium
Lineage: Bacteria
Description: bacterial SSU rRNA
Rfam family: Bacterial small subunit ribosomal RNA
Source: RNAcentral